CACCACUCUUUGUAUUGGAAUCAAAUAAUAAUCAUAUCGUUCUAUUAUUAUGACUUUGGUUGAGAGAUUUAUCAUAUUCCUAGUAUUAUAAAAAUGAAAUAAAAACAUAAUACACUCUCUUGAAGCACUAUUACGAAGGAGGCAUGAGCUAUUCAUAAAGAAAUCUGAGGAAAUAAAAAGGGACAAGUGUCUGAAACCUCAAAAAGAUAGAUCACGAGGAAAUAAAAAGGGGCAAGUGUCCGGAACCUCAAUUUGUAAAAAAAAAAGAGAAAAGAAAGAGAGCUCAUGGUCCCUCCUACAUAAUAUGCUAUGGAAGUGGAUGAUUUGUGUGAUCCAAGAAUAUGAUAUUUCUCUCUCUAGUUAUGAACAUCAAAUUAAAAUCACAACCAUUGAUGCAACU
Molecule: long non-coding RNA, 400 nt
Filed under: Sorghum bicolor (sorghum)
Lineage: Eukaryota; Viridiplantae; Streptophyta; Magnoliopsida; Poales; Poaceae
Description: long non-coding RNA (SBIC_LNC006826)
Source: RNAcentral